AGGGUGUAAACGCUGCGGGCUUGGUGUUGGGGGUCCUUUGAGGGCGCCCAGUGCCGGAGAGAAGUUGUUAAGCCUGCUGCUUGGGGAGUACGUCCGCAAGGAUGAAACUUAAAGGAAUUGGCGGGGGAGCACCACAACGGGUGGAGCCUGCGGUUUAAUUGGACUCAACGCCGGGAAGCUCACCGGAUAAGACAGCGGAAUGAUUGCCGGGCUGAAGACCCUGCAUGACCAGCUGAGAGGAGGUGCAUGGCGUAG
Molecule: ribosomal RNA, 255 nt
Filed under: uncultured archaeon
Lineage: Archaea
Description: partial 16S ribosomal RNA
Rfam family: Archaeal small subunit ribosomal RNA
Source: RNAcentral